AUAAAUUGUAAAUUUAAAUAUUAAAUUAGUAUUAGUUAUGAUCUUGAAAAUUAAAAAUUUUGGCGGUAUUUUAGUCUUUUUAGAGGAACCUGUUCUAUAAUUGAUAGUCCACGAUUUAAGUUACUUUUUUUAAAAAUUUGUAUAUCGUCGUAGAUUUGAAUAUUUUAAAAGAAUAUAAAUAUUCGGAAUUUAUAAUAUUAAAUUAAAUCAGAUCAAGAUGCAGUUUAUAAAAAAGAAGAAAUGGGUUACAAUAAAUAUUUAUUUAUACGAAUAAAUAAUUGAAAAUUAUUUUAAAGGUGGAUUUAAAAGUAAUAAAAAUAAAUUUAUUUUAUGAUUUAAGCUCUAAAAUAUGC
RNAcentral lists this ribosomal RNA (353 nucleotides) under Afrorylon sp. CO929. RNAcentral's name for it is "partial 12S ribosomal RNA". Lineage: Eukaryota; Metazoa; Arthropoda; Insecta; Coleoptera; Cerylonidae. The record is from RNAcentral.